UAUUAUGAUUAUAUGAUGACUCAUUAUCACGAAGACAAUCUUGUGCCAUUUAAAUCAGCAGGAUUCCAUUUCUUCACCAGAGAACUAUCUCUAAAUACACACACGCAUGCUCACACACUUCUGAGUUUCCCUUUGUUUAUUUUUGCAGCCAACAAAGUAUGUUUUCGAGGUUAACAACGAAGCACAGGAUAGUACAAGUGGAAGAUCAUUAACAUGACUGGAUAGGAACCUCUUUUAAUUUCCCUUUCUUGGCUUUUUCCACACCCUAGGUGGAUUACACUCACCCUGACACACCUAGAAAAGAUAGCAAGGACCAAAGUUGGGAUGAGACUCAAAUAUGCCCUUUCAGAUGUGCUUAUAAAAACAAGUCAGUGUUCACAUUUACUGUAUUAAUAGGAAUGUCUUUCAGGGGGAGUUUACAGAAAAAAAAAAUAAACCGAAUUAAGUUAUGAUGACUAUAUUUUCCAUUGUUUUCAUUUCCUUAAAAAAGGAAAGGCUGUUGAACUUGUGAGUUCUGCAGUCUAUGGUUUUGAAGCUAAGUUAUUACACACAAGCUACCUUGUGUGAACAUGGAAAGACCUUGAUAUAUUACUUCUUUGUUACAAUCAGCAGUAAGUGCCACUUAGCAUGUCUGGCUACUUACAGAGUGAAAUAAUUGCUUAGGAACCUAGAACUGCUUAUUUAAAGGGUGGGAACUCAAUAUUUAAUUACUGAACCAAAAAGCACCUCAGCUUUACUGUGGGAAAUCUCAUGCAAUGCACUGUUAGCCUUCAGGUGGUU
This 780-nucleotide long non-coding RNA is filed under the name Homo sapiens (human). RNAcentral describes it as "HSALNT0114006". Lineage: Eukaryota; Metazoa; Chordata; Mammalia; Primates; Hominidae. The record is from RNAcentral.